RNAcentral lists this unclassified non-coding RNA (174 nucleotides) under uncultured Hypocreales. RNAcentral's name for it is "sequence contains ITS1". Lineage: Eukaryota; Fungi; Ascomycota; Sordariomycetes; Hypocreales. The record is from RNAcentral.
UCGAGUUUACAACUCCUUUACCCCUAUGUGAACAUACCUAUCGUUGCUUCGGCGGGAUCGCCCCGGCACGCUCCUCCGGGGGCCGGCCCGGAUCCAGGCGCCCGCCGGAGGUCCAAAACUCUGUAUUUUAUACGGUGUCUAUUCUGAGUGGCGAAAGCAAAAAAAAAUAAAUCA